UUUCUACUUCUCGUCUCUGUUGCACUGAGUACUAGCGUUGACGCACUAUGCAAAGACUGAUCAAAAUAGGUGGCUCACCAAAUCAUUAAUACAUCAGUUCACAGAUAUAAAGCUAGCCUGCGAAUGCAUAUUCCUGCAUUUUCCUGUACACAUUAAAAUUUAAUUAAAAAUGUCAAAA
Molecule: long non-coding RNA, 178 nt
Organism: Drosophila grimshawi
Lineage: Eukaryota; Metazoa; Arthropoda; Insecta; Diptera; Drosophilidae
Exons: 2
Source: RefSeq, a predicted model, not a curated record